RNAcentral lists this ribosomal RNA (429 nucleotides) under Gemmatimonadota bacterium. RNAcentral's name for it is "Gemmatimonadetes bacterium partial 16S ribosomal RNA". It matches the Rfam family "Bacterial small subunit ribosomal RNA", at positions 355 to 776 of the family's 1533-position model. The record is from RNAcentral. Lineage: Bacteria; Pseudomonadati; Gemmatimonadota.
UAGGGAAUCUUCGGCAAUGGACGAAAGUCUGACCGAGCAACGCCGCGUGAGUGAAGAAGGUUUUCGGAUCGUAAAACUCUGUUGUUAGAGAAGAACAAGGACGUUAGUAACUGAACGUCCCCUGACGGUAUCUAACCAGAAAGCCACGGCUAACUACGUGCCAGCAGCCGCGGUAAUACGUAGGUGGCAAGCGUUGUCCGGAUUUAUUGGGCGUAAAGCGAGCGCAGGCGGUUUCUUAAGUCUGAUGUGAAAGCCCCCGGCUCAACCGGGGAGGGUCAUUGGAAACUGGGAGACUUGCGUGCAGAAGAGGAGAGUGGAAUUCCAUGUGUAGCGGUGAAAUGCGUAGAUAUAUGGAGGAACACCAGUGGCGAAGGCGGCUCUCUGGUCUGUAACUGACGCUGAGGCUCGAAAGCGUGGGGAGCAAACAGG